Molecule: ribosomal RNA, 227 nt
Filed under: uncultured bacterium
Lineage: Bacteria
Description: partial 16S ribosomal RNA
Rfam family: Bacterial small subunit ribosomal RNA
Source: RNAcentral
GACGAACGCUGGCGGCGUGCUUAACACAUGCAAGUCGAGCGGUAAGGCCCUUUCGGGGGUACGACGAGCGGCGAACGGGUGAGUAACACGUGGGUGACCUGCCCUCAGCUCUGGGAUAAGCCUGGGAAACCGGGUACUAAUACUGGAUAUGACUCCAUGACGCAUGUUGGUGGGGUGGAAAGCCUUGUGCGGCUGAGGAUGGGCCCGCGGCCUAUCAGCUUGUUGGU